Molecule: unclassified non-coding RNA, 293 nt
Filed under: Hevea brasiliensis (rubber tree)
Lineage: Eukaryota; Viridiplantae; Streptophyta; Magnoliopsida; Malpighiales; Euphorbiaceae
Source: RNAcentral
GUAUUUGACCUUGGUGGUGGCACUUUCGAUGUUUCGGUCCUUGAGGUUGGAGAUGGAGUAUUUGAAGUACUUUCCACCUCAGGCGAUACGCAUUUAGGGGGUGAUGACUUUGACAAGAGAAUUGUGGAUUGGCUUGCUGAAAGCUUUAAGAGAGAUGAAGAUGUGGAUCUUCUGAAAGAUAAACAAGCUCUUCAGCGUCUAACAGAGGCAGCCGAGAAAGCAAAGAUUGAGUUGUCAUCUUUGACUCAGACCAAUAUCACUUUCCCUUUCAUUACUGCUACUGCAGAUGGCCC